RNAcentral lists this transfer RNA (131 nucleotides) under Nostoc sp. FACHB-145. Its description in RNAcentral is "tRNA-OTHER". The record is from RNAcentral. Lineage: Bacteria; Bacillati; Cyanobacteriota; Cyanophyceae; Nostocales; Nostocaceae. RNAcentral also lists the same sequence under 1 other name.
UGGCGGGUGGCGAAAUUGGUAAACGCACUUGAAAAUAGCCUUAAUUCAUACCUUGUCUGAAAAGGCCGAAGAGUUGAGGGUUAUCGGAUCUAGCAACGUAAGUUUUGCGGGUUCAGGUCCCGCCCCGUCAC